UACGAAGGGUGCAAGCGUUACUCGGAAUUACUGGGCGUAAAGCGUGCGUAGGUGGUCGUUUAAGUCCGUUGUGAAAGCCCUGGGCUCAACCUGGGAACUGCAGUGGAUACUGGGCGACUAGAAUGUGGUAGAGGGUAGCGGAAUUCCUGGUGUAGCAGUGAAAUGCGUAGAGAUCAGGAGGAACAUCCAUGGCGAAGGCAGCUACCUGGACCAACAUUGACACUGAGGCACGAAAGCGUGGGGAGCAAACAGGAUUAGAUACCCUGGUAGUCCACGCCCUAAACGAUGCGAACUGGAUGUUGGGUGCAAUUUGGCACGCAGUAUCGAAGCUAACGCGUCAAGUUCGCCGCCUGGGGAGUACGGUCGCAAGACUGAA
This 376-nucleotide ribosomal RNA is filed under the name uncultured bacterium. RNAcentral describes it as "bacterial SSU rRNA". It matches the Rfam family "Bacterial small subunit ribosomal RNA", at positions 524 to 898 of the family's 1533-position model. The record is from RNAcentral.